UACGUAGGGUGCAAGCGUUGUCCGGAAUUAUUGGGCGUAAAGAGCUCGUAGGCGGUCUGUCGCGUCGGAUGUGAAAAUCCAGGGCUCAACCCUGGACCUGCAUUCGAUACGGGCAGACUAGAGUUCGGUAGGGGAGACUGGAAUUCCUGGUGUAGCGGUGAAAUGCGCAGAUAUCAGGAGGAACACCGGUGGCGAAGGCGGGUCUCUGGGCCGAAACUGACGCUGAGAAGCGAAAGCAUGGGGAGCGAACAGG
Molecule: ribosomal RNA, 253 nt
Filed under: uncultured bacterium
Lineage: Bacteria
Description: partial 16S ribosomal RNA
Rfam family: Bacterial small subunit ribosomal RNA
Source: RNAcentral